Molecule: ribosomal RNA, 443 nt
Filed under: uncultured bacterium
Lineage: Bacteria
Description: bacterial SSU rRNA
Rfam family: Bacterial small subunit ribosomal RNA
Source: RNAcentral
ACUCCUACGGGAGGCAGCAGUGGGGAAUAUUGCACAAUGGGGGAAACCCUGAUGCAGCAACGCCGCGUGAGUGAUGACGGUCUUCGGAUUGUAAAGCUCUGUCUUCAGGGACGAUAAUGACGGUACCUGAGGAGGAAGCCACGGCUAACUACGUGCCAGCAGCCGCGGUAAUACGUAGGUGGCAAGCGUUGUCCGGAUUUACUGGGCGUAAAGGGAGCGUAGGUGGAUAUUUAAGUGGGAUGUGAAAUACUCGGGCUUAACCUGAGUGCUGCAUUCCAAACUGGAUAUCUAGAGUGCAGGAGAGGAAAGUAGAAUUCCUAGUGUAGCGGUGAAAUGCGUAGAGAUUAGGAAGAAUACCAGUGGCGAAGGCGACUUUCUGGACUGUAACUGACACUGAGGCUCGAAAGCGUGGGGAGCAAACAGGAUUAGAUACCCUGGUAGUC